CCCUUAGAUGUUCUGGGCCGCACGCGCGUUACACUGAUGCAUUCAACGAGUCCUUCCUUGGCCGAGAGGCCUGGGCAAUCUUUUGAACGUGCAUCGUGAUAGGGAUAGAUUAUUGCAAUUAUUAAUCUUGAACGAGGAAUUCCUAGUAAACGCAGUUCAUCAAACUGCAUUGAUUACGUCCCUGCCCUUUGUACACACCGCCCGUCGCACCUACCGAUUGAAUGGUCCGGUGAAGCCUCGGGAUUGUGGCUGGUCUCCUUUAUUGGGGGUCGGUUGCGAGAACUUGUCUAAACCUUAUCAUUUAGAGGAAGGUGAAGUCGUAACA
RNAcentral lists this ribosomal RNA (325 nucleotides) under uncultured eukaryote. RNAcentral's name for it is "partial 18S ribosomal RNA". It matches the Rfam family "Eukaryotic small subunit ribosomal RNA", at positions 1470 to 1796 of the family's 1831-position model. The record is from RNAcentral.